This 83-nucleotide non-coding RNA is filed under the name unclassified sequences. RNAcentral's name for it is "eL15-Euryarchaeota ribosomal protein leader". It matches the Rfam family "eL15-Euryarchaeota ribosomal protein leader". The record is from RNAcentral.
CCUGCCUGUGCAGGUCGGGAUGUGGCUGGCGGGGUCUCUGACCCCGGGCAGGCGGCACCGCCGCCGGAGAGCUGAACCACACA